AAAUUGAAGAGUUUGAUCAUGGCUCAGAUUGAACGCUGGCGGCAGGCCUAACACAUGCAAGUCGAACGGUAACAGGAAGAAGCUUGCUUCUUUGCUGACGAGUGGCGGACGGGUGAGUAAUGUCUGGGAAACUGCCUGAUGGAGGGGGAUAACUACUGGAAACGGUAGCUAAUACCGCAUAACGUCGCAAGACCAAAGAGGGGGACCUUCGGGCCUCUUGCCAUCGGAUGUGCCCAGAUGGGAUUAGCUAGUAGGUGGGGUAACGGCUCACCUAGGCGACGAUCCCUAGCUGGUCUGAGAGGAUGACCAGCCACACUGGAACUGAGACACGGUCCAGACUCCUACGGGAGGCAGCAGUGGGGAAUAUUGCACAAUGGGCGCAAGCCUGAUGCAGCCAUGCCGCGUGUAUGAAGAAGGCCUUCGGGUUGUAAAGUACUUUCAGCGGGGAGGAAGGGAGUAAAGUUAAUACCUUUGCUCAUUGACGUUACCCGCAGAAGAAGCACCGGCUAACUCCGUGCCAGCAGCCGCGGUAAUACGGAGGGUGCAAGCGUUAAUCGGAAUUACUGGGCGUAAAGCGCACGCAGGCGGUUUGUUAAGUCAGAUGUGAAAUCCCCGGGCUCAACCUGGGAACUGCAUCUGAUACUGGCAAGCUUGAGUCUCGUAGAGGGGGGUAGAAUUCCAGGUGUAGCGGUGAAAUGCGUAGAGAUCUGGAGGAAUACCGGUGGCGAAGGCGGCCCCCUGGACGAAGACUGACGCUCAGGUGCGAAAGCGUGGGGAGCAAACAGGAUUAGAUACCCUGGUAGUCCACGCCGUAAACGAUGUCGACUUGGAGGUUGUGCCCUUGAGGCGUGGCUUCCGGAGUUAACGCGUUAAGUCGACCGCCUGGGGAGUACGGCCGCAAGGUUAAAACUCAAAUGAAUUGACGGGGGCCCGCACAAGCGGUGGAGCAUGUGGUUUAAUUCGAUGCAACGCGAAGAACCUUACCUGGUCUUGACAUCCACGGAAGUUUUCAGAGAUGAGAAUGUGCCUUCGGGAACCGUGAGACAGGUGCUGCAUGGCUGUCGUCAGCUCGUGUUGUGAAAUGUUGGGUUAAGUCCCGCAACGAGCGCAACCCUUAUCCUUUGUUGCCAGCGGUCCGGCCGGGAACUCAAAGGAGACUGCCAGUGAUAAACUGGAGGAAGGUGGGGAUGACGUCAAGUCAUCAUGGCCCUUACGACCAGGGCUACACACGUGCUACAAUGGCGCAUACAAAGAGAAGCGACCUCGCGAGAGCAAGCGGACCUCAUAAAGUGCGUCGUAGUCCGGAUUGGAGUCUGCAACUCGACUCCAUGAAGUCGGAAUCGCUAGUAAUCGUGGAUCAGAAUGCCACGGUGAAUACGUUCCCGGGCCUUGUACACACCGCCCGUCACACCAUGGGAGUGGGUUGCAAAAGAAGUAGGUAGCUUAACCUUCGGGAGGGCGCUUACCACUUUGUGAUUCAUGACUGGGGUGAAGUCGUAACAAGGUAACCGUAGGGGAACCUGCGGUUGGAUCACCUCCUUACCUUAAAGAAGC
This 1554-nucleotide ribosomal RNA is filed under the name Escherichia coli. Its description in RNAcentral is "bacterial SSU rRNA". It matches the Rfam family "Bacterial small subunit ribosomal RNA". The record is from RNAcentral. Lineage: Bacteria; Pseudomonadati; Pseudomonadota; Gammaproteobacteria; Enterobacterales; Enterobacteriaceae.